AAACUCAAAUGAAUUGACGGGGGCCCGCACAAGCGGAGGAACAUGUGGUUUAAUUCGAUGAUACGCGAGGAACCUUACCUGGGCUUAAAUGGGGAGUGACAGCUGUCGAAAGAUGGUUUUCUUCGGACACUCUUCAAGGUGCUGCAUGGUUGUCGUCAGCUCGUGCCGUGAGGUGUCGGGUUAAGUCCCAUAACGAGCGCAACCCUUACCGUUAGUUACCAUCAGGUUAAGCUGGGGACUCUAGCGGGACUGCCACCGUAAGGUGAGAGGAAGUGGGGAUGACGUCAAAUCAGCACGGCCCUUAUGUCCAGGGCUACACACGUGUUACAAUGGCCAGUACAAAGGGCAGCUACCGGGUGACCGGAUGCUAAUCUCUAAAGCUGGUCUCAGUUCGGAUCGAAGUCUGCAACCCGACUUCGUGAAGCUGGAUUCGCUAGUAAUCGCGCAUCAGCCAUGGCGCGGUGAAUACGUUCCCGGGCCUU
Molecule: ribosomal RNA, 482 nt
Filed under: uncultured Sphingobacteriales bacterium
Lineage: Bacteria; Pseudomonadati; Bacteroidota; Sphingobacteriia; Sphingobacteriales
Description: bacterial SSU rRNA
Rfam family: Bacterial small subunit ribosomal RNA
Source: RNAcentral